GGUUGGAGUGGUAAAAGCACACCAAGGCGACGAUCAGUAGCUGGUCUGAGAGGAUGAGCAGCCACACUGGAACUGAGACACGGUCCAGACUCCUACGGGAGGCAGCAGUGGGGAAUUUUCCGCAAUGGGCGCAAGCCUGACGGAGCAAUACCGCGUGAGGGAGGAAGGCUCUUGGGUUGUAAACCUCUUUUCUAGGGAAGUAAAAAAUGACGGUACCUAAGGAAUCAGCAUCGGCUAACUCCGUGCCAGCAGCCGCGGUAAUACGGAGGAUGCAAGCGUUAUCCGGAAUCAUUGGGCGUAAAGCGUCCGCAGGUGGUCAGACAAGUCUGCCGUUAAAGCGUGGAGCUUAACUCCAUAAAGGCGGUGGAAACUGUCAGACUAGAGUUCGGUAGGGGUAGCAGGAAUUCCCAGUGUAGCGGUGAAAUGCGUAGAGAUUGGGAAGAACAUCGGUGGCGAAGGCGUGCUACUGGGCCGAAACUGACACUCAGGGACGAAAGCUAGGGGAGCGAAAGGGAUUAGAUACCCCUGUAGUCCUAGCUGUAACGAUGGAUACUAGGCGUAGUCUGUAUCGACCCGGACUGUGCCGAAGCUAACGCGUUAGUAUCCCGCCUGGGGAGUACGCACGCAAGUGUGAAACUCAAAGGAAUUGACGGGGGCCCGCACAAGCGGUGGAGUAUGUGGUUUAAUUCGAUGCAACGCGAAGAACCUUACCAGGGCUUGACAUGUCGCGAAUCCCCUUGAAAGGGGGGAGUGCCUUCGGGAGCGCGAACACAGGUGGUGCAUGGCUGUCGUCAGCUCGUGUCGUGAGAUGUUGGGUUAAGUCCCGCAACGAGCGCAACCCUCGUUUUUAGUUGCCAGCAUUAAGUUGGGCACUCUAGAAAGACUGCCGGUGACAAACCGGAGGAAGGUGGGGAUGACGUCAAGUCAGCAUGCCCCUUACGCCCUGGGCUACACACGUACUACAAUGGUUGGGACAAAGGGCAGCCAACUCGCAAGAGUGAGCGAAUCUCAUCAAACCCAGCCUCAGUUCGGAUUGCAGGCUGCAACUCGCCUGCAUGAAGGAGGAAUCGCUAGUAAUCGCAGGUCAGCAUACUGCGGUGAAUCCGUUCCCGGGCCUUGUACACACCGCCCGUCACACCAUGGAAGCUGGCCACGCCCGAAGUCGUUACUCCAACCGUCAAAGGAGGAGGAUGCCGAAGGCAGGGCUAGUGACUGGGGUGAAGGCGAAACAAGGUAGCCGUACCGGAAGGUGUGGCU
Molecule: ribosomal RNA, 1257 nt
Filed under: metagenome
Description: bacterial SSU rRNA
Rfam family: Bacterial small subunit ribosomal RNA
Source: RNAcentral